Non-coding RNA from Ictidomys tridecemlineatus (thirteen-lined ground squirrel), 928 nucleotides. NCBI's taxonomy places the organism in Eukaryota, Metazoa, Chordata, Mammalia, Rodentia, Sciuridae. The record is from RefSeq and is a predicted model, not a curated record.
GGUAGGAAUGACUCAUACCAACUGUGUAACUCUGAAUCUUGAUUUUCACAUCUGUAAAUAGGGGAAAUGAUAUUACUCACCUGUGUGGUACUUAAGGGAAGCAUGUAUGAAGGACCUAGGACCAUGCCUUCUGCAGAGUGAGCGAUGUCAACUCUAUUGUCACCACCAUCAUCACCACCAUUGUCAUCAUUAUGCACCCAUUGGAGCCUGCUUUCUCAGCCUGAUUUUCACCUUUGAGCAGCAAUUACUCCCUUUAUGAAAUCUUUCCCAUGUGUGCCUCUGCAUUAUCUCCCGAGCUUCUGCACUUCCUGGGAGCAAUCCAACCACACCACUCUGCUCUGUACCCUCCCUCCUGCAUGGCACCUUCUACCUGAUCCACCUCCCUCUCCCUUUCCCGUCACCUGCUGGUUACCUGGCACUCCUGCACUAGGUCCUGCCUAUGCAUCACAGAUGUCCUCAUAGUUCCUCAUGUUGACUUCUCCGACACCAGGCUCAGAGGAAAAACCCUGUGAAGGCACAGUGAUAAAGCUGUUGUCUGCAAGCCAGGAAGACAGCCCUCACCAGAUAUUUACCCUGAAGGCAUUUUGAUUUUGGACUUUCAGGCUCCAGAAAUUUACAGGAUUAACUGAAACCAAAUUUUCCUUGGAGAUACAACAGGAAGAUCUGUGGAUGCUUGGCCUACAUUACUAGAGAUCAGAUGAUGGAACGUCGGGUGCACAGUCUAAUCCUCUGUAAGCAGCAGCAGGCAAGUUGAGAGGGCCCCUCUCUUGCUCCUGACCUUCUUUCACUCUGGCUCUCCCAGCAGAGGCCUGGUGUCUUUCAAGAGGGGAGGCCACCCCAUCUGAAGGCCGUACAAUCUUUGAUGAGUAACUUCCUUCACUGUUUUUAAGUACCGCAGCCAAACAAAGAAAAUAAAACUCCAACACUC